GGCAGGGGCCUUUACUACCUCAGUUUCCCCAGCUUUGGUUUGCAAUGCUUUCCUGGUGGCUCCCAGCUCAGCCUGGAGAAGAAGGAGAGCUGGGACCAAGAAGAUUUUUAGCAGAUGAAGGACACAUGGCCAUGUCCUCAGAACCCCACAGUCUGAGAGAAGCAACAGCCCUGCCCUUGCCAGCUCUCAGCCCCAGAGAUGGGAGCUUGCCUGAUUGUCUACCCAUCAACCUGGACCCCAGAGCCUGCCCAGCUGAGUGUGUGCAGAGGGUCCCAGGUGAGGGGCGCUGCUCAGGCCUCUGCAGAGACCACCCUGGAGACACUGACAGAGAGAGGCCUUUCCUACUGAGCCUGGCCUCUCUGCACAGCCUGUUCAGAAAGAAGAACUGAGGCUCAUGGAUAUACACUAAGCCCCCCUCCCCCAAUCCUGCCACCUAGCCUGAGGACUCUUCCCUGCACCUUGAUAACCUGAGAGAACUGGGAGGAGAAAGGGG
RNAcentral lists this long non-coding RNA (493 nucleotides) under Heterocephalus glaber (naked mole-rat). Its description in RNAcentral is "lncRNA (ENSHGLG00100037261.1)". Lineage: Eukaryota; Metazoa; Chordata; Mammalia; Rodentia; Bathyergidae. The record is from RNAcentral.